Transfer RNA from Ovis aries (sheep), 72 nucleotides. It matches the Rfam family "tRNA". From Rfam's summary of the family: Transfer RNA (tRNA) molecules are approximately 80 nucleotides in length. Their secondary structure includes four short double-helical elements and three loops (D, anti-codon, and T loops). Further hydrogen bonds mediate the characteristic L-shaped molecular structure. tRNAs have two regions of fundamental functional importance: the anti-codon, which is responsible for specific mRNA codon recognition, and the 3' end, to which the tRNAs corresponding amino acid is attached (by aminoacyl-tRNA synthetases). tRNAs cope with the degeneracy of the genetic code in two manners: having more than one tRNA (with a specific anti-codon) for a particular amino acid; and 'wobble' base-pairing, i.e. permitting non-standard base-pairing at the 3rd anti-codon position. Lineage: Eukaryota; Metazoa; Chordata; Mammalia; Artiodactyla; Bovidae. The record is from Rfam.
UCCCUGGUGGCUCAGAUGGUAAAGAAUCUGCUUGGAAUGCAGAAGACUUGGGUUCAAUCCCUGGGUUGGGAA